AUACGGAGGAUCCGAGCGUUAUCCGGAUUUAUUGGGUUUAAAGGGAGCGUAGGUGGAUUGUUAAGUCAGUUGUGAAAGUUUGCGGCUCAACCGUAAAAUUGCAGUUGAAACUGGCAGUCUUGAGUACAGUAGAGGUGGGCGGAAUUCGUGGUGUAGCGGUGAAAUGCUUAGAUAUCACGAAGAACUCCGAUUGCGAAGGAUUCUCACUAGACUGUUACUGUCCCUGAUUCUCGAAAGUGUCUGUAUCAAACCAGAUUAGAUAGCCUGGUAGUGCACACAGUAAACGAUGAAUACUCGAUCUUUGCGAUAUGCAGUAAGCGGCCAGGCGAAAACAGUUAGUAUUCCACCUGGGGAGUCCGCCGACAACGGUGAUACUCAAAUGAAUUGACGGGG
RNAcentral lists this ribosomal RNA (393 nucleotides) under uncultured bacterium. Its description in RNAcentral is "partial 16S ribosomal RNA". It matches the Rfam family "Bacterial small subunit ribosomal RNA", at positions 523 to 918 of the family's 1533-position model. The record is from RNAcentral.